GAUGAAGAACGUAGCGAAAUGCGAUAAGUAAUGUGAAUUGCAGAAUUCAGUGAAUCAUCGAAUCUUUGAACGCACAUUGCGCCCGCGAGUAUUCUCGCGGGUAUGCCUGUCCGAGCGUCAUUUCAACCCUCAGGGCCCGCCUGCUUCGGCAGGCGCGGCGCUGGUGUUGGGGAUCGGCCUAACCGCCGUCCCCCAAAUACAGUGGCGGUCUCGCUGCAGCCUCCCCUGCGUAGUAGCAACACUCGCAUGCGGAGCGCGGCGCGGCCACGCCGUAAAACCCCCGACUUUCUGAACGUUGACCUCGGAUCAGGUAGGAAUACCCGCUGAACUUAAGCAUAUCAAUAAGCGGAGGA
Molecule: unclassified non-coding RNA, 353 nt
Filed under: soil metagenome
Description: partial contains 5.8S ribosomal RNA, internal transcribed spacer 2, and large subunit ribosomal RNA
Rfam family: 5.8S ribosomal RNA (bases 1-120)
Source: RNAcentral